Molecule: small nucleolar RNA, 181 nt
Filed under: Prunus dulcis (almond)
Lineage: Eukaryota; Viridiplantae; Streptophyta; Magnoliopsida; Rosales; Rosaceae
Description: sRNA ncRNA
Source: RNAcentral
GAGAGAGAGAGAGAGAGAGAGAGAGAGAGAGAGAGAAUUGAAAGAAACUGGAGAAAGAAAAAAAAGCAAAGAAGGGAAAGGAACAUACUUUGAUCAAAAUACCUUUUUCUUUUCUUUUUUAUGUUUUCUUUCACUUUCUUUACUUUCCGGUCACCCACUUUAAUCGGUCUCUUAGAUUUCA